This 502-nucleotide ribosomal RNA is filed under the name Tethyaster sp. 2 DEZ-2008. Its description in RNAcentral is "partial 16S ribosomal RNA". It matches the Rfam family "Bacterial large subunit ribosomal RNA", at positions 1921 to 2572 of the family's 2925-position model. Lineage: Eukaryota; Metazoa; Echinodermata; Asteroidea; Paxillosida; Astropectinidae. The record is from RNAcentral.
UGUUAAACGGCCGCGGUAUUUUGACCGUGCAAAGGUAGCAUAAUCAUUUGCCUUUUAAAUGGAGGCUGGAAUGAAAGGCAAGACGAGAAUUUGACUGUCUUUUUCCUAAUAACCCUGAAAUUAAUUUCCUUGUGAAGAAGCAGGGAUUAAGUCGUGGGACGAGAAGACCCUAUUGAGCUUAAGCAAAAGGUGUAAGUAUUGGUUUUUUAUUUUUAGCUAAUUUUUUAAUAAGUAUAAUUUUACUAAAAAUAAAAAUAAUAUUGUAUAUGUGUUGUUUUGGUUGGGGCAACCGCGGAGAAUAUUCAACCUCCGCUAAUAAGAAAAAAAGAAACUUCUUUAAAAAGAGAAUAGUUUAGUUGAGUGACCCAUCUUGGGAUGAUCAAAGGAAAAAGUUACCAUAGGGAUAACAGCGUAAUUUUUUUGGAGAGUUCAUAUUGAUAAAAAAGUUUGCGACCUCGAUGUUGGAUCGAGACUUCCUGAGGGUGCAGCAGCUUUCAAGGGU